This 1220-nucleotide long non-coding RNA is filed under the name Oryctolagus cuniculus (rabbit). RNAcentral's name for it is "lncRNA (ENSOCUG00000037029.1)". The record is from RNAcentral. Lineage: Eukaryota; Metazoa; Chordata; Mammalia; Lagomorpha; Leporidae.
CUAUCAUCUGUAACUUAAUCUACAAAGUCACGUUUCCCGUGUAGCAUAAUGUCUGCAGGUCCUGGGGAUUCCGACACGGACCUCUCUUCGGUGGGGUGGGUGGUUAGGCGAGGAGCAGGGGAGGAAGCAUUAUCUGUUUCCACAGUCAGCACAAACUCUACACAGAGCAGUGGGGAAAGUUCCAUUGAUUGAAUGACUUAAUAAAGGAGUGCAGGUACCUCUGUAUAUCAUACUCACCAUUUCCCUUCAAGCAGGCUUCCUCCUCAUGCAGGAAAACACGGCCCUUGAUGGUUUCUGAACCUUAGGACCCUCGGCUACUCCAUUUGGAAAGAUGCUCAGUUCCUUCCUUCUGCUCUCUUAGGAAAAUCCUGGGGAACAAUUCGAGUCAAGCUUUACUGGCCCAGGCCUGUGGAUCAUCAAAGAGUGUGGACUCGGGUGGCGUCUUCAUCGGACAGUGAGGUUUAGGACCCCACACAUAGAGGAAGUUCAACAAACAUCUGUCAAACAAAUGAACAUUCCCCUUGACAACCGAAAGCAGUUCAGAAAUGGAAAGACCCCUUGCAAAUAUCUAGCUUGACUACUCCAAGACCCAGGGAGGGUGGAACCGACUCGCCCGUGUUUGUAGAGCUGACCAAUGAAUGGACUCAGGCCUCCAGACUCCAAAUUUAGUUCCUCCAGACACAGGAAUCAUGCAGGGAGACGUAUGCCGAAAAAUAGCUCCAGAGCCCACAGAUUGUCCUACAUGGUGAGGGAAUUCGGCCCCCAAGGAUCACUCUCUGUCCGAAUUACUAAGAAACUUAAGCUCGGUGACAGCCCAAAUAAGUUGCCUCAGAUAGUGGAAAAAAAAAAAAAAAAGACCACAUCAUGGGGCCAGCGUGGCACACACAGCAAGUCAGCAAGGUAAGCCACUGCAGGGGCACCAGCAUCCCCUGUGGGAGCUCCAGUUUGAAUCUUGGCUGCUCUGCUUCUGACCCAGCUCCUUGCUAAUGCCCCUGGGGAGGCAGCAGAAGAUGACCCAGGUGCCUGAACCCCUACCACCUCGUGGGACACCUGGAUGGAGUUCCUGACUCCUGUCUUUGGCCUGGCCCAGAAUGGGCCAUUUUGGCAUCUGGGAAGGGAACCAGUAGAUGAAAGAUUCUGCCCUCUCGUUCUCUGUCUCUCCAUCUCUCUGUCACUCUGCCUUUCAAAUAAAAGAAAUAAGUAUAUUUUUUAAAAGGACA